UACGUAGGGUGCAAGCGUUGUCCGGAAUUAUUGGGCGUAAAGGGCUCGUAGGCGGUUUGUCGCGUCGGGAGUGAAAACUCAGGGCUUAACCCUGAGCCUGCUUCCGAUACGGGCAGACUAGAGGUAUGCAGGGGAGAAUGGAAUUCCUGGUGUAGCGGUGAAAUGCGCAGAUAUCAGGAGGAACACCAAUGGCGAAGGCAGCUCGCUGGAACGGUACUGACGCUGAGGCGCGAAAGCGUGGGGAGCGAACAGG
RNAcentral lists this ribosomal RNA (253 nucleotides) under uncultured bacterium. RNAcentral describes it as "partial 16S ribosomal RNA". It matches the Rfam family "Bacterial small subunit ribosomal RNA", at positions 524 to 776 of the family's 1533-position model. The record is from RNAcentral.